AGCAGCCGCGGUAAUUCCAGCUCCAAUAGCGUAUAUUAAAGUUGUUGCAGUUAAAAAGCUCGUAGUUGAAUUUCGGGGUUAGCAGGUCGGUCGUGCCAAUGGUAUGCACUGGCUCGCUGACUCCUCCUUCUUGUAGAACCGUAAUGCCAUUAAUUUGGUGUUGCGGGGAAACAGGACUGUUACUUUGAAAAAAUUAGAGUGUUUAAAGCAGGCCAACGCCUGAAUACAUUAGCAUGGAAUAAUGAAAUAGGACGUUCGAACCUAUUUUGUUGGUUUCUAGGAUCGACGUAAUGAUUAAUAGGGAUAGUUGGGGGCAUUAGUAUUCAAUUGUUAGAGGUGAAAUUCUUGGAUUUAUUGAAGACUAACUACUGCGAAAGCAUUUGCCAAGGAUGUUUUCAUUAAUCAAGAACGAAAGUUAGGGGAUCGAAGACGAUCAGAUACCGUCGUAGUCUUAACCAUAAACUAUGCCGACUAGGGAUCGGAUGAUGUUAAUUUUAUAAUGACUCA
RNAcentral lists this ribosomal RNA (507 nucleotides) under uncultured Glomus. Its description in RNAcentral is "SSU rRNA". It matches the Rfam family "Eukaryotic small subunit ribosomal RNA", at positions 569 to 1078 of the family's 1831-position model. The record is from RNAcentral. Lineage: Eukaryota; Fungi; Glomeromycota; Glomeromycetes; Glomerales; Glomeraceae.